UACGGAGGGGGUUAGCGUUGUUCGGAAUUACUGGGCGUAAAGCGCGCGUAGGCGGACUGGAAAGUUGGGGGUGAAAUCCCAGGGCUCAACCCUGGAACUGCCUUCAAAACUACUAGUCUAGAGUUCGAGAGAGGUGAGUGGAACUCCGAGUGUAGAGGUGAAAUUCGUAGAUAUUCGGAAGAACACCAGUGGCGAAGGCGGCUCACUGGCUCGAUACUGACGCUGAGGUGCGAAAGUGUGGGGAGCAAACAGG
This 253-nucleotide unclassified non-coding RNA is filed under the name uncultured Paracoccaceae bacterium. Its description in RNAcentral is "uncultured Rhodobacteraceae bacterium contains 16S-23S intergenic spacer region". It matches the Rfam family "Bacterial small subunit ribosomal RNA", at positions 524 to 776 of the family's 1533-position model. Lineage: Bacteria; Pseudomonadati; Pseudomonadota; Alphaproteobacteria; Rhodobacterales; Paracoccaceae. The record is from RNAcentral.